UCGAGAAUUUUUGACAAUGGGGGAAACCCUGAUCGAGCGACGCCGCGUGGAGGAUGAAGGUCUUCGGGUUGUAAACUCCUGUCAUUUGAGAACAAGGCGCGCACGUUAACUGCGUGCGCGUUGAUAGUAUCAGAAGAGGAAGGGACGGCUAACUCUGUGCCAGCAGCCGCGGUAAUACAGAGGUCCCAAGCGUUGUUCGGAUUCAUUGGGCGUAAAGGGUGUGUAGGUGGCGCCGUAAGUCGGGUGUGAAAUUUCGAGGCUUAACCUCGAAACUGCAUUCGAUACUGCGGUGCUCGAGGACUGGAGAGGAGACUGGAAUUCAUGGUGUAGCAGUGAAAUGCGUAGAGAUCAUGAGGAAGACCAGUGGCGAAGGCGGGUCUCUGGACAGUUCCUGACACUGAGACACGAAGGCCAGGGGAGCAAACGGGAUUAGAUACCCCCGUAGUCC
RNAcentral lists this ribosomal RNA (448 nucleotides) under uncultured bacterium. RNAcentral's name for it is "bacterial SSU rRNA". It matches the Rfam family "Bacterial small subunit ribosomal RNA", at positions 355 to 796 of the family's 1533-position model. The record is from RNAcentral.